UGGGGAAUCUUGGACAAUGGGGGCAACCCUGAUCCAGCGAUGCCGCGUGGGUGAAGAAGGCCUUCGGGUUGUAAAGCCCUUUAGGCUGGGAAGAAGGAUAUGGGAUGAAUAAUCCUGUAUUUUGACGGUACCAGCAGAAUAAGCACCGGCAAACUCUGUGCCAGCAGCCGCGGUAAUACAGAGGGUGCGAGCGUUAAUCGGAUUUACUGGGCGUAAAGGGCGCGUAGGCGGUUGUAUGAGUGUGAUGUGAAAGCCCCGGGCUCAACCUGGGAAGUGCAUCGCAAACGAUACGACUAGAGUAUAUGAGAGGGUGGCGGAAUUUCCGGUGUAGCGGUGAAAUGCGUAGAGAUCGGAAGGAACGUCAAUGGCGAAGGCAGCCACCUGGCAUAAUACUGACGCUGAGGCGCGAAAGCGUGGGGAGCGAACAGG
RNAcentral lists this ribosomal RNA (429 nucleotides) under uncultured bacterium. Its description in RNAcentral is "bacterial SSU rRNA". It matches the Rfam family "Bacterial small subunit ribosomal RNA", at positions 355 to 776 of the family's 1533-position model. The record is from RNAcentral.